RNAcentral lists this transfer RNA (61 nucleotides) under Cherax glaber. RNAcentral describes it as "tRNA-Arg". Lineage: Eukaryota; Metazoa; Arthropoda; Malacostraca; Decapoda; Parastacidae. The record is from RNAcentral.
AAAUUAGAAAGCGAAAAAUUGCAUUUAGUUUCGGCCUAAAUCUUGGUCUAUACCUCUAAUU